GCGGCAGGCCUAACACAUGCAAGUCGAGCGGUAGAGAGAAGCUUGCUUCUCUUGAGAGCGGCGGACGGGUGAGUAAUGCCUAGGAAUCUGCCUGGUAGUGGGGGAUAACGUUCGGAAACGAACGCUAAUACCGCAUACGUCCUACGGGAGAAAGCAGGGGACCUUCGGGCCUUGCGCUAUCAGAUGAGCCUAGGUCGGAUUAGCUAGUUGGUGAGGUAAUGGCUCACCAAGGCGACGAUCCGUAACUGGUCUGAGAGGAUGAUCAGUCACACUGGAACUGAGACACGGUCCAGACUCCUACGGGAGGCAGCAGUGGGGAAUAUUGGACAAUGGGCGAAAGCCUGAUCCAGCCAUGCCGCGUGUGUGAAGAAGGUCUUCGGAUUGUAAAGCACUUUAAGUUGGGAGGAAGGGCAGUUACCUAAUACGUGAUUGUUUUGACGUUACCGACAGAAUAAGCACCGGCUAACUCUGUGCCAGCAGCCGCGGUAAUACAGAGGGUGCAAGCGUUAAUCGGAAUUACUGGGCGUAAAGCGCGCGUAGGUGGUUUGUUAAGUUGGAUGUGAAAUCCCCGGGCUCAACCUGGGAACUGCAUUCAAAACUGACUGACUAGAGUAUGGUAGAGGGUGGUGGAAUUUCCUGUGUAGCGGUGAAAUGCGUAGAUAUAGGAAGGAACACCAGUGGCGAAGGCGACCACCUGGACUAAUACUGACACUGAGGUGCGAAAGCGUGGGGAGCAAACAGGAUUAGAUACCCUGGUAGUCCACGCCGUAAACGAUGUCAACUAGCCGUUGGAAGCCUUGAGCUUUUAGUGGCGCAGCUAACGCAUUAAGUUGACCGCCUGGGGAGUACGGCCGCAAGGUUAAAACUCAAAUGAAUUGACGGGGGCCCGCACAAGCGGUG
RNAcentral lists this ribosomal RNA (900 nucleotides) under Pseudomonas extremorientalis. RNAcentral describes it as "bacterial SSU rRNA". It matches the Rfam family "Bacterial small subunit ribosomal RNA", at positions 39 to 934 of the family's 1533-position model. Lineage: Bacteria; Pseudomonadati; Pseudomonadota; Gammaproteobacteria; Pseudomonadales; Pseudomonadaceae. The record is from RNAcentral.